CCUACGGUGGGCAGCAGUGGGGAAUAUUGGACAAUGGGCGAAAGCCUGAUCCAGCCAUGCCGCGUGUGUGAAGAAGGCCUUCGGGUUGUAAAGCACUUUCAGUGGGGAAGAAAGCCUUGGGGCUAAUACCCUCGAGGAAGGACAUCACCCACAGAAGAAGCACCGGCUAACUCCGUGCCAGCAGCCGCGGUAAUACGGAGGGUGCGAGCGUUAAUCGGAAUUACUGGGCGUAAAGCGCGCGUAGGCGGUCUGAUAAGCCGGUUGUGAAAGCCCCGGGCUCAACCUGGGAAUGGCAUCCGGAACUGUCAGGCUAGAGUGCAGGAGAGGAAGGUAGAAUUCCCGGUGUAGCGGUGAAAUGCGUAGAGAUCGGGAGGAAUACCAGUGGCGAAGGCGGCCUUCUGGACUGACACUGACGCUGAGGUGCGAAAGCGUGGGUAGCAAACAGGAUUAGAUACCCUGGUAGUC
Molecule: ribosomal RNA, 465 nt
Filed under: Vreelandella stevensii
Lineage: Bacteria; Pseudomonadati; Pseudomonadota; Gammaproteobacteria; Oceanospirillales; Halomonadaceae
Description: partial 16S ribosomal RNA
Rfam family: Bacterial small subunit ribosomal RNA
Source: RNAcentral